GUUCGACUCGAGCGCCAGCGAGAGAGCGUUGCCGCAGGCAACGACCCGUAGGGCGAAGCGCGCAGCGCUGAGUAAUCCUUCCCCCACCACCA
Molecule: small RNA, 92 nt
Filed under: Escherichia coli
Lineage: Bacteria; Pseudomonadati; Pseudomonadota; Gammaproteobacteria; Enterobacterales; Enterobacteriaceae
Description: partial RtT sRNA
Rfam family: RtT RNA
About the family: This family represents a bacterial cis-regulatory element known as RtT RNA. The exact function of RtT is unknown although it is thought that it may be involved in changing the cellular response in relation to amino acid starvation.
Source: RNAcentral